Molecule: ribosomal RNA, 586 nt
Filed under: uncultured bacterium
Lineage: Bacteria
Description: bacterial SSU rRNA
Rfam family: Bacterial small subunit ribosomal RNA
Source: RNAcentral
CAGUGGGGGAAUCUUCCGCAAUGGACGAAAGUCUGACGGAGCAACGCCGCGUGAGUGAUGACGGCCUUCGGGUUGUAAAGCUCUGUUAAUCGGGACGAAAGGCCUUCUUGCGAAUAGUGAGAAGGAUUGACGGUACCGGAAUAGAAAGCCACGGCUAACUACGUGCCAGCAGCCGCGGUAAUACGUAGGUGGCAAGCGUUGUCCGGAAUUAUUGGGCGUAAAGCGCGCGCAGGCGGAUCAGUCAGUCUGUCUUAAAAGUUCGGGGCUUAACCCCGUGAUGGGAUGGAAACUGCCAAUCUAGAGUAUCGGAGAGGAAAGUGGAAUUCCUAGUGUAGCGGUGAAAUGCGUAGAUAUUAGGAAGAACACCAGUGGCGAAGGCGACUUUCUGGACGAAAACUGACGCUGAGGCGCGAAAGCCAGGGGAGCGAACGGGAUUAGAUACCCCGGUAGUCCUGGCCGUAAACGAUGGGUACUAGGUGUAGGAGGUAUCGACCCCUUCUGUGCCGGAGUUAACGCAAUAAGUACCCCGCCUGGGGAGUACGACCGCAAGGUUGAAACUCAAAGGAAUUGACGGGGCCCGCACAAG